RNAcentral lists this long non-coding RNA (465 nucleotides) under Homo sapiens (human). RNAcentral's name for it is "long intergenic non-protein coding RNA 3122". The record is from RNAcentral. Lineage: Eukaryota; Metazoa; Chordata; Mammalia; Primates; Hominidae.
GCUGCAAACUGCCCUCAGGGCAAAGAAGCCUGCAGAAUAAUUGGGAGGAGUCUGGCAGGAAGGAAGCCAAGAAUCAGUAUUUCAAGCAUCCAAAAUGUGUAGGAGAAUAUGGACCCAAGAACGGAGCAGAGAGACAAAUAGAGGAACGGAAAGUUUUGCCUACAACCAUGAUGUUCUCAAUGUUAGCUGACUGUGUUCUAAAAUCCACUCCAAUUCCCAUUUUGGGAGUUGCUAUGUGAUGAAGGUCUGCCCCUGUGGUGUUGGGACAACUUGCUCAUGGAGUUGCAGUUCUUGCCUAACAGGAACCCACCAUGAAAGCACAAGCAAGAAUGUGUGAGAAGAUCACAGAGACCUAAAGAAGGGGAAGGGAAGAACCCACAUGUGAGAGAGAAGAGAUUGUCUGACUUGUCAGUGUUCCUAAUUGCACUGCCCCUGGAAAACGCACGGAGAAGAAAUACAGCAAAA